Molecule: transfer RNA, 73 nt
Filed under: Mycoplasma mobile 163K
Lineage: Bacteria; Bacillati; Mycoplasmatota; Mycoplasmoidales; Metamycoplasmataceae
Rfam family: tRNA
About the family: Transfer RNA (tRNA) molecules are approximately 80 nucleotides in length. Their secondary structure includes four short double-helical elements and three loops (D, anti-codon, and T loops). Further hydrogen bonds mediate the characteristic L-shaped molecular structure. tRNAs have two regions of fundamental functional importance: the anti-codon, which is responsible for specific mRNA codon recognition, and the 3' end, to which the tRNAs corresponding amino acid is attached (by aminoacyl-tRNA synthetases). tRNAs cope with the degeneracy of the genetic code in two manners: having more than one tRNA (with a specific anti-codon) for a particular amino acid; and 'wobble' base-pairing, i.e. permitting non-standard base-pairing at the 3rd anti-codon position.
Source: Rfam by way of RNAcentral
AGGAGUGUAGUUCAAUUGGUAGAACAACGGGCUUCAACCCCGUAUGUUGUGGGUUCGAGACCUAUCACUCCUG